This 253-nucleotide ribosomal RNA is filed under the name uncultured bacterium. RNAcentral's name for it is "partial 16S ribosomal RNA". It matches the Rfam family "Bacterial small subunit ribosomal RNA", at positions 524 to 776 of the family's 1533-position model. The record is from RNAcentral.
UACGUAGGGUCCGAGCGUUGUCCGGAAUUAUUGGGCGUAAAGAGCUCGUAGGCGGUUUGUCGCGUCUGCUGUGAAAUCUGGAGGCUCAACCUCCAGCCUGCAGUGGGUACGGGCAGACUAGAGUGCGGUAGGGGAGAAUGGAAUUCCUGGUGUAGCGGUGGAAUGCGCAGAUAUCAGGAGGAACACCGAUGGCGAAGGCAGUUCUCUGGGCCGUAACUGACGCUGAGGAGCGAGAGCGUGGGGAGCGAACAGG